UUACAAGUGCAGUUGCUGUCCUUGAGAGCUGUCGAAGGGCAUUGUCAGAAACUGUUUCUGCAAGAGCUGGUGACAGGCUAUGUGUUGCACUGGGUGCUGAGUUAAAGGAGAUGCAAGAAAGGAUGGCAAACAGGCGCAUCUAUGAGGCCUCUGGAAGGGCGUACGUGCUAUCGGGGUUGAGUUCACACUCAUGGCAAAGAGCAACUGCACGAGGUGAUUCCACUGAUAGUGCAACCCUUCUGCAAGCUUACCAGACCCCAUCCAUGGUGGACAUGUUGACCCGAUCACAGACGAUGUUUGUGAGUAGUGGUGCUCCAUCACCUCAUCCAC
RNAcentral lists this long non-coding RNA (330 nucleotides) under Vitis vinifera (wine grape). Its description in RNAcentral is "long non-coding RNA (VVIN_LNC001696)". Lineage: Eukaryota; Viridiplantae; Streptophyta; Magnoliopsida; Vitales; Vitaceae. The record is from RNAcentral.